RNAcentral lists this unclassified non-coding RNA (329 nucleotides) under soil metagenome. RNAcentral describes it as "partial contains 5.8S ribosomal RNA, internal transcribed spacer 2, and large subunit ribosomal RNA". The stretch from base 1 to 120 matches the Rfam family "5.8S ribosomal RNA", at positions 35 to 154 of the family's 154-position model. The record is from RNAcentral.
GAUGAAGAACGUAGCGAAAUGCGAUAAGUAGUGUGAAUUGCAGAAUUCAGUGAAUCAUCGAAUCUUUGAACGCACAUUGCGCCCCUUGGUAUCCCGAGGGGCAUGCCUGUUCGAGCGUCAUUUCACCACUCAAGCCUGGCUUGGUGUUGGGCGACGUCCUCUUUGGGGACGCGCCUCGAAACGCUCGGCGGCGUGGCACCGGCUUUAAGCGUAGCAGAAUCUUUCGCUUUGGAAGUCGGGGCCCCGUCUGCCGGAAGACCUGCUCGCAAGGUUGACCUCGGAUCAGGCAGGGAUACCCGCUGAACUUAAGCAUAUCAAUAAGCGGACGA